Molecule: regulatory RNA element, 61 nt
Organism: Porphyromonas cangingivalis
Lineage: Bacteria; Pseudomonadati; Bacteroidota; Bacteroidia; Bacteroidales; Porphyromonadaceae
Source: Rfam
UGAUACGUGGAUAGAUUUGUAUGCUUGCAACCACGCGAUAAAAAAUGCUAAAAAGACUCAG